UAUGUGAUCGUCUCUCGCAUAUCAAUAAGCGGAGGAAAAGAAACUAACAAGGAUUCCCCUAGUAACGGCGAGUGAAGCGGGAAGAGCUCAAAUUUGAAAUCUUAAAGGGUUUCCCUUUACGAAUUGUAGUUUAAAGAAGUGUUUUCUGUUGAGGUUUUGGUAAAAGUUCUUUGGAAUAGGACAUCAUAGAGGGUGAGAAUCCCGUAUUUGACCUUUACUUUCAACUUUGUGAUACACUUUCAAAGAGUCGGAUUGUUUGGGAAUGCAGUCCAAAAUGGGUGGUAAAUUUCAUCUAAAGCUAAAUAUUGGCGAGAGACCGAUAGCGAACAAGUACCGUGAGGGAAAGAUGAAAAGAACUUUGAAAAGAGAGUUAAACAGUACGUGAAAUUGUCAAAAGGGAAGCGUUUGACACCAGUGUUGUUUUUCUGAAAAUCAAUUAAAGAACUGUUUAUGCUAAGUUGUUUAGACUUUAUCAGCUAUCUGCUUAGUUUUGAGCUUUUCUUUAAUGCACUUUUCAGUUAACAAGUCAACAUCAAUUUCUUUUGCUGUAAAAAAGCUGAGGAAGGUGGCUUGAGAUUCGUCUUAAGUGUUUAUAGCCUCUUGCCUAUGCAGUCGGAGAGAUUGAGGUCUGCAGCGUAGAUCCUUCGGGGCUAAAUGCAUUUGUGCUAAGUUAUAACAUUUUAUAGACAACUUGUUGACUAUGAUUUGUCUUGUAGCUUACUCGCUUAUGUUAUUUUACCUACGCUUAGGAUGUUGAGUAGCGACAUACGCAC
This 773-nucleotide ribosomal RNA is filed under the name uncultured Neocallimastigales. Its description in RNAcentral is "partial large subunit ribosomal RNA". It matches the Rfam family "Eukaryotic large subunit ribosomal RNA", at positions 24 to 649 of the family's 3401-position model. Lineage: Eukaryota; Fungi; Neocallimastigomycota; Neocallimastigomycetes; Neocallimastigales. The record is from RNAcentral.